This 465-nucleotide ribosomal RNA is filed under the name uncultured bacterium. RNAcentral's name for it is "bacterial SSU rRNA". It matches the Rfam family "Bacterial small subunit ribosomal RNA", at positions 330 to 793 of the family's 1533-position model. The record is from RNAcentral.
ACCAGACUCCUACGGGAGGCAGCAGUGAGGAAUAUUGGUCAAUGGGCUAAGGCCUGAACCAGCCAAGUCGCGUGAGGGAAGACGGUCCUAUGGAUUGUAAACCUCUUUUGUCGGGGAGCAACGAGGCCACGUGUGGCCGAAGUGAGAGUACCCGAAGAAAAAGCAUCGGCUAACUCCGUGCCAGCAGCCGCGGUAAUACGGAGGAUGCGAGCGUUAUCCGGAUUUAUUGGGUUUAAAGGGUGCGUAGGCGGAACAUUAAGUCAGCGGUAAAAUCGAGGGGCUCAACCCCUUUAAGCCGUUGAAACUGGUGAUCUUGAGUGGGCGAGAAGUAUGCGGAAUGCGUGGUGUAGCGGUGAAAUGCAUAGAUAUCACGCGGAACUCCGAUUGCGAAGGCAAGUGUCCGGGGUGCAACUGACGCUGAGGCUCGAAAGUGCGGGUAUCAAACAGGAUUAGAUACCCUAGUAC